Molecule: ribosomal RNA, 454 nt
Filed under: uncultured bacterium
Lineage: Bacteria
Description: partial 16S ribosomal RNA
Rfam family: Bacterial small subunit ribosomal RNA
Source: RNAcentral
GAUGAACGCUGACAGAAUGCUUAACACAUGCAAGUCAACUUGAACUUCGGUUUGGGUGGCGGACGGGUGAGUAACGCGUAAAGAACUUGCCUCACAGCUAGGGACAACAUUUGGAAACGAAUGCUAAUACCUGAUAUUAUGAUUUUAGGGCAUCCUAGAAUUAUGAAAGCUAUAUGCGCUGUGAGAGAGCUUUGCGUCCCAUUAGCUAGUUGGAGAGGUAACGGCUCACCAAGGCGAUGAUGGGUAGCCGGCCUGAGAGGGUGAACGGCCACAAGGGGACUGAGACACGGCCCUUACUCCUACGGGAGGCAGCAGUGGGGAAUAUUGGACAAUGGACCAAGAGUCUGAUCCAGCAACUCUGUGUGCACGAUGAAGUUUUUCGGAAUGUAAAGUGCUUUCAGUUGGGAAGAAAAAAAUGACGGUACCAACAGAAGAAGUGACGGCUAAAUACGUG